RNAcentral lists this long non-coding RNA (1807 nucleotides) under Homo sapiens (human). Its description in RNAcentral is "non-protein coding FAM41C:1". Lineage: Eukaryota; Metazoa; Chordata; Mammalia; Primates; Hominidae. The record is from RNAcentral.
CUGCCUGUAGGCUUCAUGUCCUUCCCCUACAACACGCCAUGCUUGCCAGGCUGGAAGAGGGGCUCCAGAAACUUGGAAACCUGGGCCUGUAGCUGGCAUAUGGAAAAGAGGCCUGGAAAAGCACCACUCCUGUCCAUGAAGCCCCCAGAUGGAACCAGGUCCUGUUCAGAAACCCCAUCUGUGCCUUUGGAGAGACUGCCCCGAGCACACAGGCCCAGCAACCGCCAUCUAUGGCCCCCAGGACCUAAUCCCUUCUACAUAGGGUUCAGUGCAUGUGAGUAUACACCGGGCUUGAUUCCUGCCUAGUCCCUGCCAGAUACCCCAUGCCCACCUGGUGAAGAGAAUGAGGCCACACAAACACACCCAGGCCAUCGUGGUGAUGGAGUGCCUGGGGUCCUACUUGCCCACCCUUCCUUGCUGGUUCAGAGCCAGCUGUCUGACCACAUUCCUACCCUGAGAUGAGACUUUGGGGACAUUGUCCACCAGGGUCACUGACCCCUUUUAAAAUUCCAGAAACAGAGGGCCAGCUGGUCCCCUAGAAGUUUGGCACAUGGGAUAAGCCAAGGCUUGCCUUCAGGAACAGGUUUUCCACCACGUCGCUGCCCAAGGCCCAGGGCAUCCCCAAGUUCAUGUGGCACCUGCCUGCCAUGUCCACAACCCAUGCCGACCCCUCCUAGAGCCACUGGAAUGCUUGUUCCUGGGCAUGUGAUAAACCCAGACAGCUUCAGCCUUGCAGGACAACUAUGCACAUCUGGCAGCAGUAGCCGGAGGGCCCAUGGAAAGAAGUUGGAGGUGAAACCAGAUGCUGUGAAAAUAUUAGGCAAAACUGCAUACUAUAAAAGUGCUUUAAAAUGCAGCAGGAGGAGAGGUGAAGACACAAAUGAAUAAGUGCUUAGAGACACAUGGCUGUCAGAACAGUUAAGAAUCCACGCUGCUUCCCCCCUUUACCUAGAAAAGGAAAAUUCUAGGCCACCUCCUCCUCAGCAUACUCCUCAAACUCCUCCUCCUCAGCCGUGGCAUCCUGAUAUUGCUGAUAUUCAGACACCAGGUCGUUCAUGUUGCUCUCGGCCUCGGUGAAUUCCAUCUCUUCCAUGCCCUCGCCCGUGUACCAAUGGAGGAAGGCCUUGCGCCUGAACAUUGCUGUAAACUGCUCUGAGACACGCUUGAAGAGUUCCUGGAUGGCCGUAUUAUUCCCAAUGAAGGAACAGCAAGAGGACCUUGUGCAUGAAUAAUUUGUUUCCAUACUACAGAGUGGGUAAUAAGCAGAUUAGUAAAAACAAUUCUGCUUCACUUCAAUAACAGCCUCCUCCAACUCAUUUUUUCUCAACAAACUUAUUUUUCCAGCAGAAGAAUCCCAGACUUCUUAGAGAACCCAGUGACUUUUUGCACCUUAAAUCUGUGAAAUCCUCAUGUUUUCUUCUGCCGUAUCCAUAGUUCAAACAAAGAUGAGGCAAAGCUAGACGCAUUCCUGAAGGAACCCAAGAAAUUCCUCUCUUUCUCUCUCUGGAAUGAAAUGAAUUCUCUAGACCACCAGUUCUAACCUUCAAAAACCAAACCUGUUUGUGAGCUGUCCUUCAAAUACUACUGUAGACCCCAGUGUUUAUUCAUUAAAUUUUUUAAAUAUUUGUUUUAUUUGGAAUCAAAGUAUUUGUAAUUUUAGUAUUUGUAUUAAUAUCAGGGAGAAAUGUUUAAAUCUGUCUAUGCCAUAUGUGCCUCUGGCUUAUUGCCCAAUUAAUUGUAGCCUCAGGCUAAACUUUGGUUUCUGUCUUUAAUUUUUGUCAGAAGAAAUAUAACUGAUCUCAAAACA